RNAcentral lists this ribosomal RNA (460 nucleotides) under uncultured bacterium. RNAcentral's name for it is "partial 16S ribosomal RNA". It matches the Rfam family "Bacterial small subunit ribosomal RNA", at positions 338 to 795 of the family's 1533-position model. The record is from RNAcentral.
CCUACGUGAGGCAGCAGUGAGGAAUAUUGGUCAAUGGCCGGAAGGCUGAACCAGCCAUGCCGCGUGAAGGUCAUUGCCCUAUGGGCGUUAAACUUCUUUUGUGCGGGAGCAAUAAUGGUCACGUGUGGCCAGACGAGAGUACCGUACGAAUACGCAUCGGCUAACUCUGUGCCAGCGGCCGCGGUAAUAGGGGGUAUGCAAGCGUUAUCAGGAUUUAUUGGGUUUAAAGGGUGCUUAUGCUGUUAGGUAAGUCAACGGUGAAAUGCCCCCGCUCAACGGGGUGAAGUGCCAUUGAUACUGCCUUGCGGGAAUGCGGAUGCCGUGGGAGGAAUGUGUGGUGGAGCGGUGAAAUGCAUAGAUAUCACACAGAACACCGAUUGCGAAGGCAUCUCACGAAUCCGCGAUUGACGCUGAUGCACGAAAGCGUGGGUAUCAAACAGGAUUAGAUACCCCGGUAGUC